Molecule: long non-coding RNA, 675 nt
Organism: Ochotona princeps (American pika)
Lineage: Eukaryota; Metazoa; Chordata; Mammalia; Lagomorpha; Ochotonidae
Exons: 3
Source: RefSeq, a predicted model, not a curated record
UCACCCAUGGGUGGUCAGGUACCACAGGCAGGCUCGGUCCUCUGUCAGAGGGUUGUCCUCUGUCAUGCAUUUUUGGCCACACACUUAUGCCCUCUGAAUCUCCUUUCAGAGUUCUACCUGGAAGAGCUUAUUGUUGCAGUUAUCCAAGGACACUCCAUAUUGGACUGGCCACCGCUUAAUCAAGGACCAGCGGUGGAGUUCAGGCUGGUGUUCCACAAUAGAGCAAAGCUACAGCUAUUUAUGGUAUCAUAAGACAAAGGAGUGCAGUACCUCUCUUCCCUGCAUCUGUGAGAUGGCGUCUUUCAGGUUUCCAGACGUGGACUACUCUUUGCAGAAUUCAGGUGUUCAUGCUUAGAACCCGCUGGGCUGUCACCUCUGUCCUGCUGCAGUGCCUAGCAUUUCCUCACUGGACAGAGUCUAUUCAAGGCCUGACCCACACCUGACAUUUGUCACCAGCACUCUGCUUGCCUCAAACCUUGUCCCAGAAAUUGGUGUGUUCCUGGGAAAAGGGUGAAGAAGCUUCUAGAAGGGACUCUGGAGCUUAUGCCAAGAACCAUGCUCUGGUGGUAUGGGAGUGGGGACGGGGAGGAGGGUACAUGGGCUGAAUGGUUGAGGACAGCCCAGAGCCAGCUAGGCAGUUUAACUUAAAUUGGUUUAAAUAAUUUACACAUGUUA